Oryzias melastigma (Indian medaka) is the source of this 322-nucleotide long non-coding RNA. RefSeq lists it as uncharacterized. NCBI's taxonomy places the organism in Eukaryota, Metazoa, Chordata, Actinopteri, Beloniformes, Adrianichthyidae. The transcript has 2 exons. The record is from RefSeq and is a predicted model, not a curated record.
CAGGAAGAGCGCCGCUCGCCCUCCUUUUAACUUCCGUCCGUCCAGAAGAGGUUGGCUGUGGCUCCUCCUGGACAGACUCCGCCCUCUUCUGUGGUUCACCUGGGAUCUGUCACAUUUGCAUUCAGUUGUUUUUGACAUCGAGCAGUGACUGGAGGCACAUUUGGAGGUCGCCUGGUGGCAGGAAGGCAGCAGUGCAACUAUUGACUAAUGGGAGGGUCUCUAAGGUCCCCAAAAAUCACCUGAUGGUCGGCCAGUUUCAGACUACUACCUGCCUGGCUGAAUGCUGUGUCUGUAUUCAUGACCACGCCCACGAUUAAAAAAA